AGUGAACGCUGGCGGCAGGCCUAAUACAUGCAAGUCGAACGGCAGCACAGUGGAGCUUGCUCCAUGGGUGGCGAGUGGCGGACGGGUGAGGAAUACAUGGGAAUCUGCCCAGUCGUGGGGGAUAACGUAGGGAAACUUACGCUAAUACCGCAUGCGCCCUUCGGGGGAAAGCCGGGGACCUUCGGGCCUGGCGCGAUUGGAUGAGCCCAUGUUCGAUUAGCUAGUUGGCGGGGUAAAGGCCCACCAAGGCGACGAUCGAUAGCUGGUCUGAGGGGAUGAUCAGCCACACUGGGACUGAGACACGGCCCAGACUCCUACGGGAGGUAGCAGUAGGGAAUAUUGGACAAUGGGCGCAAGCCUGAUCCAGCCAUGCCGCGUGAGUGAAGAAGGCCCUCGGGUUGUAAAGCUCUUUUGUCCGGGAAGAAAAGCAUCGGGCUAAUACCUCGGUGUUCUGACGGUACCGGAAGAAGAAGCACCGGCUAACUUCGUG
Molecule: ribosomal RNA, 490 nt
Filed under: uncultured bacterium
Lineage: Bacteria
Description: partial 16S ribosomal RNA
Rfam family: Bacterial small subunit ribosomal RNA
Source: RNAcentral